UUGAUAAAACAUAAAAUUAAAUUGUAUGUUUGACAAGUAUGCUUUAUAUAUACAUGAACCAUUCGUUAUUAUGUUGGGCUUCGAGGGGGUGUAUGACGAAAAUUAAUUAAAAAUGGAUUUUUAUAAUAUAUACUUCAAAGGAACAAAAGUUAUUAUUUAAUUGGAAACGGGGGGCGCGGUAGAAAUUUGGGGGGUGCACUAGAAGUUUGGAGGAGGGAAAAAAAUUGGGGGCGCGCUA
This 238-nucleotide long non-coding RNA is filed under the name Trifolium pratense (red clover). RNAcentral's name for it is "long non-coding RNA (TPRA_LNC001180)". Lineage: Eukaryota; Viridiplantae; Streptophyta; Magnoliopsida; Fabales; Fabaceae. The record is from RNAcentral.